ACAUAAGGUCUCUAGGGUUCCGCCAGUACAAAACAGUGUCUGGGACUGGUCCAAGAGAGGCCACACCUCCGUAUAUGGGGGUGACACGGAGGGAUAAAAGCCCGGGAGAU
Molecule: small RNA, 110 nt
Filed under: Alicyclobacillus hesperidum
Lineage: Bacteria; Bacillati; Bacillota; Bacilli; Caryophanales; Alicyclobacillaceae
Description: Guanidine-I sequence
Rfam family: Guanidine-I riboswitch aptamer
About the family: This family represents a conserved RNA structure found upstream of the ykkC and yxkD genes in Bacillus subtilis and related genes in other bacteria.
Source: RNAcentral